Molecule: ribosomal RNA, 468 nt
Filed under: uncultured bacterium
Lineage: Bacteria
Description: partial 16S ribosomal RNA
Rfam family: Bacterial small subunit ribosomal RNA
Source: RNAcentral
GACGAACGCUGGCGGCGUGCUUAACACAUGCAAGUCGAACGGAAAGGCCCUGCUUUUGUGGGGUGCUCGAGUGGCGAACGGGUGAGUAACACGUGAGUAACCUGCCCUUGACUUUGGGAUAACUUCAGGAAACUGGGGCUAAUACCGGAUAGGAGCUCCUGCUGCAUGGUGGGGGUUGGAAAAUUUCGGCGGUUGGGGAUGGACUCGCGGCUUAUCAGCUUGUUGGUGGGGUAGUGGCUUACCAAGGCUUUGACGGGUAGCCGGCCUGAGAGGGUGACCGGCCACAUUGGGACUGAGAUACGGCUCAGACUCCUACGGGAGGCAGCAGUGGGGAAUAUUGCACUAUGGGCGGAAGCCUGAUGCAGCAACGCCGCGUGCGGGAUGACGGCCUUCGGGUUGUAAACCGCUUUCGCCUGUGACGAAGCGUGAGUGACGGUAAUGGGUAAAGAAGCACCGGCUAACUACGUG